UAAGGAAUAUUGGACAAUGGAGGCAACUCUGAUCCAGCCAUGCCGCGUGAAGGAAUAAGGCCCUAUGGGUUGUAAACUUCUUUUAGACGGGACAAAACCCCUUUACGUGUAAAGGGUUGAUGGUACUGUCAGAAUAAGCAUCGGCUAACUUCGUGCCAGCAGCCGCGGUAAUACGAAGGAUGCAAGCGUUAUCCGGAAUUAUUGGGUUUAAAGGGUGCGUAGGCGGACUAAUAAGUCAGUGGUGAAAGCCUGCAGCUUAACUGCAGAAUUGCCAUUGAUACUGUUAGUCUUGAGUACAGUUGAGGUUGGCGGAAUGUGUCAUGUUGCGGUGAAAUGCUUAGAUAUGACAAAGAACACCGAUUGCGAAGGCAGCUUGCUAAGCUGUAACUGACGCUGAGGCACGAAAGCGUGGGGAGCAAACA
Molecule: ribosomal RNA, 422 nt
Filed under: uncultured bacterium
Lineage: Bacteria
Description: bacterial SSU rRNA
Rfam family: Bacterial small subunit ribosomal RNA
Source: RNAcentral